RNAcentral lists this ribosomal RNA (253 nucleotides) under uncultured bacterium. RNAcentral's name for it is "partial 16S ribosomal RNA". It matches the Rfam family "Bacterial small subunit ribosomal RNA", at positions 524 to 776 of the family's 1533-position model. The record is from RNAcentral.
GACGUAGGGCGCGAGCGUUGUCCGGAUUUAUUGGGCGUAAAGGGCUCGUAGGCGGUUUGUCGCGUCGGGAGUGAAAUCCACUGGCUUAACUGGUGGCUUGCUUUCGAUACGGGCAGACUGGAGGUAUGCAGGGGAGAACGGAAUUCCGGGUGUAGCGGUGGAAUGCGUAGAGAUCCGGAGGAAGACCGGUGGCGAAGGCGGUCUGCUGGGCAGUUUCUGACACUGAGGCGCGACAGCGUGGGGAGCAAACAGG